UACGGGGGGGGCAAGCGUUGUUCGGAAUUACUGGGCGUAAAGGGCUCGUAGGCGGCCAACUAAGUCGGACGUGAAAUCCCUCGGCUUAACCGGGGAACUGCGUCCGAUACUGGAUGGCUUGAGUUUGGGAGAGGGAUGCGGAAUUCCAGGUGUAGCGGUGAAAUGCGUAGAUAUCAGGAGGAACACCGAUGGCGAAGGCAGGUCUCUGGGCCACUACUGACGCUGAGAAGCGAAAGCAUGGGGAGCGAACAGG
This 253-nucleotide ribosomal RNA is filed under the name uncultured bacterium. RNAcentral's name for it is "partial 16S ribosomal RNA". It matches the Rfam family "Bacterial small subunit ribosomal RNA", at positions 524 to 776 of the family's 1533-position model. The record is from RNAcentral.